RNAcentral lists this ribosomal RNA (775 nucleotides) under uncultured Neocallimastigales. RNAcentral describes it as "partial large subunit ribosomal RNA". It matches the Rfam family "Eukaryotic large subunit ribosomal RNA", at positions 24 to 635 of the family's 3401-position model. The record is from RNAcentral. Lineage: Eukaryota; Fungi; Neocallimastigomycota; Neocallimastigomycetes; Neocallimastigales.
UAUCUCUGUAGAGUCUGCAUAUCAAUAAGCGGAGGAAAAGAAACUAACUAGGAUUCCCUCAGUAACGGCGAGUGAAGCGGGAAGAGCUCAAAUUUGAAAUCUUCAAGGUUUUACCCUGACGAAUUGUAGUUUAAAGAAGUGUUUUCUGUUGGAGUUUUGGUAAAAGUUCUUUGGAAUAGGACAUCAUAGAGGGUGAGAAUCCCGUAUUUGACCAUUACUUCCAGCGUUGUGAUACACUUUCAAAGAGUCGGAUUGUUUGGGAAUGCAGUCCAAAAUGGGUGGUAAAUUUCAUCUAAAGCUAAAUAUUGGCGAGGGACCGAUAGCGAACAAGUACCGUGAGGGAAAGAUGAAAAGAACUUUGAAAAGAGAGUUAAACAGUACGUGAAAUUGUCAAAAGGGAAGCGUUUGACACCAGUGUUGUUUUCUCGAAAAUCAAUUAAAAAAGGCAGGAUUUUGUGUUGUAUUGACUUUAUCAGCUUUCUGCACUCUUUUCUUGUCUUUUUUUAAUGCACUUUUCGUUUAACAAGUCAACAUCAAUUUCUUUUGUUGUAAAAGGGUCAUUGGAAGGUGGCUUUCUUUUCGGAGAAAGUGUUUAUAGCCUUUGGCCUCUGCAAUCGGAGAGAUUGAGGUCUGCAGCGUAGAUCCUUCGGGGCUAGAUACGUAGAUGCUAAGUUAUAGUUUUCUAUAGACAACUUGUUGACUAUAAUUAAUCAUGUAGCUCACUCGUUUGCGCUAUUUUACCUACGCUUAGGAUGUUGAAGAUGUAGCACAUCAU